UAUUAAUAGGAGUACUGAAAGCGGUAUCAUAGCCCUCCUGACUGGUCUUCCUCUGCUCUAUUGGAUCAAUGUUUCUCUCCCUUUCUCCGCACACUGAAGUGGGAUGCAUGCAUACACUUAACCACAGACAGCUUUACUGAAUUCAUCAGCACAGCCCAGGACAUGAGGAAAAGUGGGCAUUCAGAGCAGACAGUCACUUUAAAUAAAACUACAGAGAUUGCAAAUGCCACGGCUUGCUUAUUUACUUACUGCAUCUCAGUCUGCCCAAAAUGUGGAAAUAAUGUUUCCAGAGAUGCUGGAAUUCAUCUGUCUGUUGAGGAUCCUGGCUCCUGUCCUGAAUGAUACUGCAUAUUCAGGGGAUGAUUCAUUCACUCCCGAGCGGGAGGAAGGGCUGUACCAGCUGUACCACCUCUCCGCUCCGAUUGACGGCGGUGAUGCUCCCACGGGGAAGCUGUGCCUCCAGGUUCAGCCAGCAAUUACAGAACAAACAAAGGAGAAGUGGAAUGGAGAAAUGAUUCACGGGAAUAGGAACCAAAAGAGAACCGGGAGGUGAUGCCAAGCCGGGCUGACCGUAAAACUUUCAUUUCUUUCUGCUGAAAAUGUGCAGUCAGGAUUGUGCAUCUCUUUGGUGUGUAAAUGAAUGGUGUCCUUUGCCAUCUGUAAGGGAGGAUCCAGGAGAGAGAAAUGGCUCUGAGGACUUUGAGCCUGCAAAAGGAUGGGAAGCUUCAAGCCAACAGCACGGAAAGACACAGCCUGGUGACCCU
This 764-nucleotide long non-coding RNA is filed under the name Gallus gallus (chicken). Its description in RNAcentral is "lncRNA (ENSGALG00010022621.1)". Lineage: Eukaryota; Metazoa; Chordata; Aves; Galliformes; Phasianidae. The record is from RNAcentral.